Long non-coding RNA from Juglans regia (Persian walnut), 481 nucleotides. RefSeq lists it as uncharacterized. Lineage: Eukaryota; Viridiplantae; Streptophyta; Magnoliopsida; Fagales; Juglandaceae. The record is from RefSeq and is a predicted model, not a curated record. The transcript is spliced from 3 exons.
UUCAGCCUUGUGCCACCACCCACUUUACGCAAACCACCACCCCAGUUUAUACCUUCAAAAAGCAGAACAUCAUACACCUUUUUUUCUCUCAAUCGAAACAGAGAGUCCUUGCCACUGGACAACCGCACCUCGCGAGCCACCAAGCUGUCGCCACCGCGGAAGAGCCACCCACACGCAUGGACAUACAAGCCCCGAAAAUCCUCUGUUUUAGUUGCCUAAAACAGAGCAGCGUCCCAGCUGCUGUAGUCACGCUCCAUCGAGAGCUCCACCACGCCGUGCCCCGCAGAAACUGCCGGCGAGGACCUUCCAUCACCCCAGUCCGCCGAACGCUGCCUCAGUUUUCCCUCGCUCUCUCUCCCUCUCUUCCCGUGCGAAGCCGUCGAGGACAUCACCACCGCCUCAGCCCAGUUUCCGUAGCACCCCCACGGUGCCACUGUCUCGGCUUUUCGUGACGAUUUAUAGUCGACUCGACAUAUUUGAG